Molecule: long non-coding RNA, 244 nt
Filed under: Medicago truncatula (barrel medic)
Lineage: Eukaryota; Viridiplantae; Streptophyta; Magnoliopsida; Fabales; Fabaceae
Description: long non-coding RNA (MTRU_LNC003718)
Source: RNAcentral
AAUUAUAGAAACGGGUGACUAUUUUCAGGUUAUGCAAAUCAAUCUAAAAUACACAUGGUGAAAUAUUUGCUAUUAUAACUUAUGAUAUUGCACCAAACAUCAAGUUUCCUAGAUUUUACUAUUUAUCUGCAGCUAAUCCAACACGAAACAGCUGCAGACUAAUCAAAAUUUUGAAUCUAACAAUACAGAUGUAAAAAUUACAAAUAUGUAAACAGUCUUCGCUUCGGUGUUGAUAUUUGUUUUU